ACACUCCUACGGGAGGCAGCAGUGGGGAAUUUUGGACAAUGGGGGCAACCCUGAUCCAGCAAUGCCGCGUGAGUGAAGAAGGCCUUCGGGUUGUAAAGCUCUUUUGUCAGGGAAGAAACGGUGGUGGCGAAUAACUACUACUAAUGACGGUACCUGAAGAAUAAGCACCGGCUAACUACGUGCCAGCAGCCGCGGUAAUACGUAGGGUGCAAGCGUUAAUCGGAAUUACUGGGCGUAAAGCGUGCGCAGGCGGUUGUGUAAGUCAGAUGUGAAAUCCCCGGGCUCAACCUGGGAAUUGCAUUUGAGACUGCACGGCUAGAGUGUGUCAGAGGGGGGUAGAAUUCCACGUGUAGCAGUGAAAUGCGUAGAUAUGUGGAGGAAUACCGAUGGCGAAGGCAGCCCCCUGGGAUAACACUGACGCUCAUGCACGAAAGCGUGGGGAGCAAACAGGAUUAGAUACCCUGGUAGUCCCA
Molecule: ribosomal RNA, 473 nt
Filed under: uncultured organism
Description: partial 16S ribosomal RNA
Rfam family: Bacterial small subunit ribosomal RNA
Source: RNAcentral